This 441-nucleotide ribosomal RNA is filed under the name uncultured bacterium. RNAcentral's name for it is "partial 16S ribosomal RNA". It matches the Rfam family "Bacterial small subunit ribosomal RNA", at positions 338 to 795 of the family's 1533-position model. The record is from RNAcentral.
CCUACGGGAGGCAGCAGUGGGGAAUAUUGCACAAUGGGGGGAACCCUGAUGCAGCGACGCCGCGUGGGUGAAGGAGUAUUUCGGUAUGUAAAGCCCUAUCAGCAGGGAAGAACAAUGACGGUACCUGACUAAGAAGCACCGGCUAAAUACGUGCCAGCAGCCGCGGUAAUACGUAUGGUGCAAGCGUUAUCCGGAUUUACUGGGUGUAAAGGGAGCGCAGGCGGCGCGUUAAGCCUGGUGUGAAAGUCCGCGGCCCAACCGCGGGACUGCAUUGGGAACUGGCGCGCUGGAGUGCCGGAGGGGUAGGCGGAAGUCCUAGUGUAGCGGUGAAAUGCGUAGAUAUUAGGAGGAACACCAGUGGCGAAGACGGCCUACUGGACGGUGACUGACGCUGAGGCUCGAAAGCGUGGGGAGCAAACAGGAUUAGAUACCCCUGUAGUC